CAGUAAGAAGGGAAAAACUACCCAUUUCUCCUUCCCGCCAAGUCCAGCCAUCACCUUAGUUGAAGGGCAACACUUCCACCGUUGGUUAUCAACAUUUUCGACCACAUUUCGAUUGCACCCAUUUUUUUCCAAAUUACAUACAUUCUACCUAAACCCAUUUUGACACUUAGAUGGGACAAAACCCUCCCCUCGUUGCCCGACAGUCGCCUUAGUCGUAGAUACUCUCGCAGCACUUCAACCAUCGGUCGUCAACAUUUUUUGCUACACUUCAGUUGCACCCAUUUUCUCCAAAUUACUCACUUUCCAUCUCUACCCAUUUCGGCACUUAGAUGGAAGAAAACUCUGCCCUCACUUCCCGGUCGUCACCUCAGUCAUAGGUACUUUGGCAGCGCUUGAAGAUCUUCGACUGCAAGCGAACUUUAAGUCGGACUUGGUUCCAUUUGUAGGCAAGACAAGGGAACAUGACUACCAUUUCAUUUAUUUUUUCCGUUAUACAAUUCAUGUGCUAAUUAUGAUCAUCGAAGUACCGAAAAAAUAGAGAAUGACAGCUAACUAUAAAUGUUUUGGUCUAACCCAGCUUUCUAAAAUUUGAUGUCAAAUGGCUGUGCUUGUAGUGGUUUGUAGAAGUGAAGAUCCGAGCUUCAAUCCCAUAGCUUUCCAAUAUACAUGAGUGAAUACAUGAUUUUCAUUACGAACAAGUUUCAUUUGUGUAUUAUUGAAUAUUGGCUGGAAGAACGAAUUGUUAUUGUGAAUUUACCUUUAUUUGAGUUGAUUCUUUGUGAUUUUUUUCCAUCUUAGAAUAUGCGUUAAGAAUUACAAAAUCUAUCACUAUUGUAGAGCUAAGGGGCAUUUCUCAACGGACUGCCCACGGAAACGCCGAUUGUUGUGAUUCUCCGAUCAC
Molecule: long non-coding RNA, 901 nt
Filed under: Olea europaea subsp. europaea
Lineage: Eukaryota; Viridiplantae; Streptophyta; Magnoliopsida; Lamiales; Oleaceae
Source: RNAcentral